CUGCUAUCUUUGGCAGCACACAUACUAAAAUUGGAAUGAUACAGAGAAGACUACCAUGGCCCCUGUGUAAGGAUGACACACAAAUUCGUGGAGGGGGAAUCCUUUUU
Acomys russatus (golden spiny mouse) is the source of this 107-nucleotide small nuclear RNA. Lineage: Eukaryota; Metazoa; Chordata; Mammalia; Rodentia; Muridae. The record is from RefSeq and is a predicted model, not a curated record.